AAAGCAAUAAACGGAUGCCUUGGGUAAAAAAGAGGAAGAAGGACGUAGCUGGCUGCGAUAAGUCUUGAUGAGAUGCCAACAAUCGCUUGGAGUCAAGAAUUUCCGAAUGGGGUAACCUAUUCUCUAUAGGAGAAUACAAAGUUGACAAUACUCGGUGAAGUGAAAUAUCUCAGUAACCGAAGGAAAAGAAAUCGUAAUGAGAUUCCCUUAGUAGUGACGAGCGAACAGGGAAGAGCCCAAACUCCAUUAGUGUAAGCUUCUAGGCGUUGCUAAUGAGAGGGUUGUAGGGUUGUUUAUGAAGAGCUAGAAAUCUUCAAAUGGAGAGAUGUUAUAUUAGGAGAAAUAUUUGGAUGAUAUACCAUAGAGGGUUAAAGUCCCGUAUCUAAAAAUAUGCCACCACAUUAAACAAUACCUGAGUAAUGUCAGACACGAGAAAUCUGGCAUGAAUCUGCCCAGACCACUGGGUAAGGCUAAAUACUUUUUUACACCGAUAGCGCAGAGUACCGUGAGGGAACGGUGAAAAGAACCCCAGGUAGGGGAGUGAAAUAGAACCUGAAAUUUAUUGCUUACAAUUGAGUGGGAGCCUACGGGUGACCACGUACCUAUUGACGAAUGGGUCAGCGAGUUAUUAGUAGUAGCAAGGUUAAGGCAGUUAUAGCUGGAGCCGUAGCGAAAGCGAGUCUGAAUAGGGCGAUAGUUAUUAUUAAUAGACCCGAAGCGGUAUGAGCUAGACAUGGGCAGGUUGAAGGCAUAGGAAACUAUGCUGGAGGACCGAACGGGUUGGUGCUGCAAAACCUUCCGAUGACCUGUGUUUAGGAGUGAAAAGCUCAUCGAAUACCGUGAUAGCUGGUUCUCUCCGAAAUGCAUUUAGGUGCAGCCUGUAUUUUAAGGUCUUGAAGAGGUAGAGCUCUGGAAAGGCUAGGGGGAUCGAGAGAUCUUACCAAACCUUACUAAACUUCGAAUGCUUCAAGGAAUAAUACAGAGUGGGACUGCGGGAGCAAGUUUCGUAGUCAAAAGGAUAACAGUCCAGACUUCUGAUUAAGGUCCCUAAAGUAAUGCUAAGUGGAAAAAGAGGUGUCUUUACUUAUACAUCCAGGAGGUUUGCCUAGAAGCAGCAAUCCUUUAAAGAAAGCGUAACAGCUCACUGGACUAGUGAAGAUGCGCUGAAGAUGUAACGGGGCUAAGCAUUAUACCGAAAUCGAAGACCAGUGUAGUAAUACACUGUGUGGUAGGAGAGUGUUCUUACAGGAUGAAGCUACAUCGUGAGGUGUGGUCGACUAGUAAGAAGUAAAAAUGCUGACAUGAGUAACGCUUAUUGAUGAAAAUUCAAUAUAUCGAAACCCUAAGGAUUCCUACGCAACGUUCAUCGUCGUAGGGUUAGUCGGGACCUAAGGCUUAUCCAGAAGUGGAGAGUCGAUGGAUAACUGGUUAAUAUUCCAGUACUUAUAUAUAGAGUGAUGGGGUGACGCAUUGAGAUUUGUGAGAGCUUAUUAAGGAUUUAAGUCGAAAGAACAAGGUUUUUAUGGCGUUAGCUAUAAAGGUAGUUGCAGGAAAAUCCACAGCUAUUGAUACUGAGUUUGAUCGGGAUUCAAUUCCUCGGAAUUGGAAAUUCUCAUCGUUUUGGUGCCGAGAAAAACCUCUAAACUUAAUCUAUAUGUAACCCGUACCCAGAUCAGACACUUGUGGGGUGGUAGAGAAUACUAAGAUAAUCGAGAUAACUAAUGGGUAAGGAACUUGGCAAAUUAGCGGACGUACUUUCGAAAUAAGUCCUGUCCCGAGCAAUCGGGAUCGCAGCGAAAGAGAUGGGGGGAACUGUUUAUCAAAAACACAGCUCGCUGCUAACUCGUAAGAGGAUGUAUAGCGGGUGAUGCCUGUCCAAUGCCAGAAUGUUAUGCUCUCUUGUGCAAGCUCGAGGGUUAAGCACUGGUGAAUGACGGCCGUAACUAUGACGGUCCUAAGGUAGCGAAAUUCCUUGUCAGGUAAGUUCUGACGCGCAUGAAUGGCAUAAUCAUCCCCAUGCUGUCUUACCCUUAGACUCGGUGAAAUUACAUUCCCGGUAAAAAUGCCGGGUAGUCACAGUUAGACGGAAAGACCCUGUGAAGCUUUACUGUAGAUUGAUAUUGGAUUGUAGCAUGUUUUGCUCAGUAUAGGUGGGAGGCUUUGAUGUUUCGACUUCGGUUGGGGCGGAGCCAAUAGUGAGAUACCACCCAAAAUAUGUAGCAAUUCUAAUCCCUAGGUUGGGAGACAGUUUCAGUUGGACAGUUUACCUGGGGCGGGUGCCUCCUAAAAAGUAGCGGAGGCGUGCAAAGGUUUGCUUACUACGGAUGGAAACCGUGGUGAAUGUGU
RNAcentral lists this ribosomal RNA (2346 nucleotides) under human metagenome. RNAcentral's name for it is "bacterial LSU rRNA". It matches the Rfam family "Bacterial large subunit ribosomal RNA", at positions 14 to 2352 of the family's 2925-position model. The record is from RNAcentral.